UCUCUCGCUCUUGUCCCUUCUCGCCCAUGAAGUACAAUAUCCCACUCAUUCUCUACGUGGUGCUCCAGUUCGUGGCGUUCUUCUUCGUGCUGGUGGGAACUCCGCUGGACAUCUUCCGCGACAAAUCACCAAACGGGUUCGGUAAGUUUCCCUGCUUUACGUUGUGGGGAAUUCUGUUUAAUUGCACACCGGGUGAUAAAAUGGAAGGAAUCGAUGCGUAUUCAGGGUGCCCUCUGCGCAUGCACCAAUUCCGCGCUGCAGAGGCUUUUGUCAUCAUCUCCAUCGUCGUGUACGGCGCAGCGUUCAUUCUUGGAUUGAUUUUGCUGUUUUGCUGCCCUGUGCUCCGCCGGGUCUGCCUGACGCUCAACAUCGUUGGCGUGGUCACCUUGUGCGUUGUUUGGGCAUUGGUGGUGGAAAUGUACUACAAAGAUGCUAAUCCACGUUGCGAGAAAUUUAAGGAAGGGGCAUCUUAUAGCUCCGCCUUCGUUCUCUUUGUGCUGGCCUGGAUACUGGAUGUCAUCAACAUUUUCUUGCUGCUCCUUCCCUUCGCUGGCGUGGACGCUGGAGCGAAUCGAAGGGCAGAGCUGCCGACCGCGAAGUAGAAUGGAGGUAGUAGGAGGAGACGGAGGGCGAGCUUGACAGCGGCGCGGCCCCUCCCCCACACCGGCGUCCUCGUGGUGGAGCCGGUGUCGGCGACGAUGAGGGUGCGCAAGCUGCGGGUUCCCGUGUGUGCCCUUCGCCGGCCCAGCCCUCUCGCUGCCCUGUCCUUCGUGCAUGCGUGUGCGGCACGCCGUGCACCGGGACAGCUGCCGAGGGGUGGUUGCGGCACUUCCUCCAGGAGUGCUGAUGGCACACGGCGCCUGUAUGCGUGUGUGUCUGUGUGCAGGCGCCCCCUGCGACCCUCCUCCCUCUUCUUCCGUGAGCGGCCCCCUCGACCGCGCCCCUCCCUCGCCUACGCUGCCGUUGCUCGCGCGUCUCUGUUUUCGUGCGUUGUUCGCGGGUGCCGCCGCACGCUCUCGCGCUCCUUGACGCUCGUUUCUCUUUCGGGUUCUGCGAUGCUUGCUGUUCUCUCCUCCGCGCAG
RNAcentral lists this unclassified non-coding RNA (1082 nucleotides) under Leishmania donovani. RNAcentral describes it as "gene:LdHU3.34.2950(CDS-product:amastin-like_surfa ce_protein_putative)". Lineage: Eukaryota; Euglenozoa; Kinetoplastea; Trypanosomatida; Trypanosomatidae. The record is from RNAcentral.